UAUUGCAAAAUGGGCGAAAGCCCGAUGCAGCAACGCCGCGUGGGCGAUGAAGGCCUUCGGGUCGUAAAGCCCUUUUUGAGGGGAUGAGGAAGGACAGUACCCUCAGAAUAAGCCUCGGCUAACUACGUGCCAGCAGCCGCGGUAAAACGUAGGAGGCGAGCGUUAUCCGGAUUUACUGGGCGUAAAGCGCGUGCAGGCGGAUUGGAGAGUUGGAUGUGAAAGCUCCCGGCUUAACUGGGAGAGGUCGUUCAAUACUUCCAGUCUUGAGUGCAGUAGAGGGAAGUGGAAUUCCGGGUGUAGUUGUGAAAUGCGUAGAUAUCCGGAGGAACACCAGUGGCGAAAGCGGCUUCCUGGACUGUAACUGACGCUCAGACGCGAAAGCUAGGG
RNAcentral lists this ribosomal RNA (387 nucleotides) under uncultured bacterium. Its description in RNAcentral is "bacterial SSU rRNA". It matches the Rfam family "Bacterial small subunit ribosomal RNA", at positions 362 to 765 of the family's 1533-position model. The record is from RNAcentral.